UUGACCUCAAAUCAGGUAGGACUACCCGCUGAACUUAAGCAUAUCAAUAAGCGGAGGAAAAGAAACUAACAAGGAUUCCCCUAGUAACUGCGAGUGAAGCGGGAAAAGCUCAAAUUUAAAAUCUGGCAGUCUUUUUUUUCUUCUUUGGCUGUCCGAGUUGUAAUCUAGAGAAGUGCUUACCUGCACUGGA
This 190-nucleotide ribosomal RNA is filed under the name Amanita friabilis. RNAcentral's name for it is "partial 28S ribosomal RNA". It matches the Rfam family "Eukaryotic large subunit ribosomal RNA", at positions 1 to 175 of the family's 3401-position model. The record is from RNAcentral. Lineage: Eukaryota; Fungi; Basidiomycota; Agaricomycetes; Agaricales; Amanitaceae.